GUGCCAGCAGCCGCGGUAAUACGGAGGGGGCGAGCGUUGUUCGGAAUCAUUGGGCGUAAAGGGCGCGUAGGCGGCCUUGUAAGUCAGAUGUGAAAGCCCUUGGCUUAACCAAGGAAUUGCAUCUGAAACUGCGAGGCUUGAGUCCGGGAAGGGAGAGUGGAAUUCCCAGUGUAGCGGUGAAAUGCGUAGAUAUUGGGAGGAACACCGGUGGCGAAGGCGGCUCUCUGGACCGGUACUGACGCUGAUGCGCGAAAGCUAGGGGAGCAAACGGGAUUAGAUACCCCGGUAGUCC
This 292-nucleotide ribosomal RNA is filed under the name uncultured bacterium. RNAcentral's name for it is "partial 16S ribosomal RNA". It matches the Rfam family "Bacterial small subunit ribosomal RNA", at positions 505 to 796 of the family's 1533-position model. The record is from RNAcentral.